AAAGUCGUAACAAGGUUUCCGUAGGUGAACCUGCGGAAGGAUCAUUAACACAAUACUUUCUAUUAUCAAUAACCUUUGAGCAUCUGUCUGAGCCUUUUUUAGCGUGGGGUCGACUAGAUCAUGGUUGGAAUGCGGUCUAGCCUGCUGUUAAGUUAGCCCGUCAAUUUUCGUUCUCCUUCUUCGGAACGCAAAUGAAUUUUGGCGACCGGUCUAACGCCCCGUUUUCUUAGGUGAUACAGCCACAGCCAUGGCUGGCCAAACUUUUUUUUAACCUCUUGAAUUUUUGUACUGAUUUGGGCUGUCGGAUUGAGAGGAGUCAAAUCCUUUCUCUUUCAGCUUGUGAUGAAUGCUUGUCAUUCUCUCACUAACCAAAACACAACUCUUAACAGUGGAUAUCUCGGUUCUC
RNAcentral lists this unclassified non-coding RNA (406 nucleotides) under Basidiomycota sp. RNAcentral's name for it is "partial contains small subunit ribosomal RNA and internal transcribed spacer 1". The stretch from base 1 to 47 matches the Rfam family "Eukaryotic small subunit ribosomal RNA", at positions 1785 to 1831 of the family's 1831-position model. The record is from RNAcentral. Lineage: Eukaryota; Fungi; Basidiomycota.